AAUGAACGCUGGCGGCAUGCCUAACACAUGCAAGUCGAGCGGGUGAAGCGAGCUUGCUCCUGGAUGCAGCGGCAGACGGGUGAAUAAUGCCUAGGAAUCUGCCUGAAAGUGGGGGAUAACGUCCGGAAACGGGAUCUAAUACCGCAUACGACGAUAGGUAGAAAGUGGGGGAUCUUCGGACCUCACGCUAUCAUAGUAGCAUAGAUCGGAUUAGCUAGUUGGUGGCGUAAAGGCCUACCAAGGCGACUAUCCGAAACUGGUCUGAGAGGACGAUCAGUUACACUGUAUCUGAGAAACGGUCCAGACACCGACGGGAGGCAGCAGUGGGGAAUAUUGCACAAUGGGCGAAUGCCUGAUCCAGCCAUGCCGCCUGUGUGAAGAAGGUCUUCUGAUUGUUAAGCACUUUAGGUCUGAAGGUUGUACAGUAAUUUAAUACCUUACUGUUUUGACGUUACCAACAGAAUAAGCACCGGCUAACUUCGUG
RNAcentral lists this ribosomal RNA (484 nucleotides) under uncultured bacterium. Its description in RNAcentral is "partial 16S ribosomal RNA". It matches the Rfam family "Bacterial small subunit ribosomal RNA", at positions 29 to 507 of the family's 1533-position model. The record is from RNAcentral.